Molecule: ribosomal RNA, 1008 nt
Filed under: uncultured bacterium
Lineage: Bacteria
Description: bacterial SSU rRNA
Rfam family: Bacterial small subunit ribosomal RNA
Source: RNAcentral
GUGUCAGCAGCCGCGCGGUAAUACGAAGGGCUCGAGCGUUAAUCAGAAUCACUGGGCUUAAAGCGUACGCAGGCGGGCGCGCAGGCAUCUUGUGAAAUCCCUCGGCUCAACCGAGGAACUGCUUGGUGAACCGCGCGUCUUGAGGCAAGUAGGGGCUGUCGGAACGCUAGGUGGAGUGGUGAAAUGCGUUGAUAUCUAGCGGAACGCCAAAGGAGAAAUCAGACAGCUGGGCUUGUCCUGACGCUGAGGUACGAAAGCGUGGGUAGCGAACGGGAUUAGAUACCCCGGUAGUCCACGCCGUAAACGAUGUGCACUAGAUCGAGGAGGUUCUGACACCAUUCUUGGUCGAAGCGAAAGUGUUAAGUGCACCGCCUGGGGAGUACGGUCGCAAGGCUAAAACUCAAAGGAAUUGACGGGGGCUCACACAAGCGGUGGAGCAUGUGGCUUAAUUCGAAGCAACGCGAAGAACCUUAUCCUGGGUUUGACAUGCACGGAUUAGCCUGCUGAAAGGCAGGUGACACCUUCGGGUGGAACGUGCACAGGCGCUGCAUGGCUGUCGUCAGCUCGUGCUGUGAAGUGUCGGGUUAAGUCCCUUAACGAGCGCAACCCCUGUCGCUAGUUGCCAGCGCGUCAUGGCGGGGACUCUAGCGAGACUGCCGGCGUCAAGUCGGAGGAAGGUGGGGAUGACGUCAAGUCCGCAUGGCCUUUAUGCCCAGGGCUGCACACGUGCUACAAUGGCGGGUACAGAACGACGCAAUACCGCGAGGUGGAGCAAAUCGCUCAAAACCCGCCCCAGUUCGGAUUGCAGGCUGCAAUUCGCCUGCAUGAAGUUGGAAUCGCUAGUAAUCGCGGAUCAGCUACGCCGCGGUGAAUACGUUCCUGAGCCUUGUACACACCGCCCGUCAAGUCAUGGAAGCUGGCAGCGCCCGAAGUCGCCGCGAUUCAGCGGUGCCCACGGGCGAGGCUGGUGACUGGGACUAAGUCGUAACAAGGUAACCAAUCCAUAUG